Molecule: transfer RNA, 64 nt
Filed under: Felis catus (domestic cat)
Lineage: Eukaryota; Metazoa; Chordata; Mammalia; Carnivora; Felidae
Also listed under: 3 other names
Rfam family: tRNA
About the family: Transfer RNA (tRNA) molecules are approximately 80 nucleotides in length. Their secondary structure includes four short double-helical elements and three loops (D, anti-codon, and T loops).
Source: Rfam by way of RNAcentral
GCUCAGUUGGUAGAACAUAAGACUCUUGGUCUUGGGGUUGUGGGUUCAAGCCCCACACUGGGCG